GGGGAAUAUUGGACAAUGGGGGGAACCCUGAUCCAGCAAUGCCGCGUGUGUGAAGAAGGCCUGAGGGUUGUAAAGCACUUUCAGUGGGGAGGAGGGUAUAUUGGUUAAGAGCUGGUAUAUUGGACGUUACCCACAGAAGAAGCACCGGCUAACUCCGUGCCAGCAGCCGCGGUAAUACGGGGGGUGCAAGCGUUAAUCGGAAUUACUGGGCGUAAAGGGUGCGUAGGUGGUUAUAUAAGUUAUCUGUGAAAUCCCCGGGCUUAACCUGGGCAGGUCAGAUAAGACUGUGUGACUAGAGUAUGGGAGAGGGUAGUGGAAUUUCCGGUGUAGCGGUGAAAUGCGUAGAGAUCGGAAGGAACACCAGUGGCGAAGGCGGCUACCUGGCCCAAUACUGACACUGAGGCACGAAAGCGUGGGGAGCAAAC
RNAcentral lists this ribosomal RNA (425 nucleotides) under uncultured bacterium. RNAcentral describes it as "bacterial SSU rRNA". It matches the Rfam family "Bacterial small subunit ribosomal RNA", at positions 356 to 773 of the family's 1533-position model. The record is from RNAcentral.